GGAUGGAUUGGCUCGAGAGUCUAUGAAGAAUGUGACAAGCUGCAUUAAGUUCCGGCGAGCUGCACGUAAGUUUUGAACCGGAAAUAUUUGAAUGGGAUUCCCAUUAAAUGCCGAAAGGCAAGAGAACGUAGGGAAUUGAAGCGUCUUAGUACCUACAGGAAAAGAAAGCAAAAGCGAUUCUGUAAGUAAGAGCGACUGAAAGCAGAACAGCGCAACCUGAAUGGGAUAUGGAAACAUAUCGCGGAUGUGGGUGGCUGUACUUGGCCGUAGUUGAGUAAAUUAAAAUUUUCUGGAAAGUUAUGCGAUACAGGGUGAUAGCCCCGUAAAUGUGAAUCAACCGGCCGUUUAGAACAGUCAUAGAGUAGCGGUAAUUGGAAAUUUGCCGUGAAUGUGGGAAGCAACAAUUCCUAACGCUAAAUACUCCUCGAGACCGAUAGCGUAUAGUACCGUGAGGGAAUUCUGAAAAGUACACGUAAUAGUGUGUGAAAAGACCUGAAAUCUAUUGGUUAUAGUGGGAUGCGGCCCUAAGGGGUUGCAUCGUGCGUUUUGAAAAACGCGCCAACGAGUGUAUCUUUAUGGCAAGAAUAAUCUGUAAAAGAGUAUUCGAAGGGAAACCGAAAUCAUUGCAACGCAAGUGAGAAUGGAGGUAUUAAAGUGCCUAUAGUCAUGAGGAUACGACCCGAAGCCGGUCGAGCUAUGCCUGAGUAAGGUGAAGCGAACAAUUUUGUUCGUGGAGGCCUGAAGAGUUGUUACGAGCACGUACUCUUAUAACUUGGGUAUAGGGGUGAAAAGCCAAUCGAGACCGGUUAUAGCUGGUUCCUAGCGAAAUUGGCCUUAGUCAAGUGCAAUCCGAGGUAGUGGUGUCGGUAAAGAUACGGAUUUGAGAUUUAGGGGGCGAGAGCCUUCGGUUUUUUGUCCAACUCUAAAUGGCAUUACGCCGUAGACGAUUGUAAACGGGGGAUGGGGGUAAGCCUCAUUCCCGAGAGGGGAACAACCCACACUUUAGUUAAGGUCCCUAAAUAUCAGUUAAGUGUUAAAGGGUGAAAGGUGUCCAUAAACAUAGACAGUGAGGAGGUUGGCUUAGAAGCAGCCAUCCUUUAAAGAUAGCGUAACAGCUCACUCAUCAAGUUUAUGGGUCCUGAAAACGGACGGGGCUAAACUGAUUACCGAUACUAAAGGCAAUAAUUAAUGUAAUUAUUGUGGUAGCUAGGUGUAUUGCUUGGGCAGAAGCUUCUUUGUGAAAAGGGGUGGACCGAGUAAUAAUAAGAAUGUUGGCGAUAGUAGGAUCAGAGUGAUGUGAGAAUCAUCAUCAUCGAAAGGGCAAGGGUUCCAUUGCACUGUAAAUCAGCAGUGGGUUAGUCGAUCCUAAGCAGAUUCCUAACUGGAUAUACUGCGAAAGGGAAACAGGUUAAUAUUCCUGUACUUAUUAAGUAUGCGUGGCAACACAAGUCUAAUUUCAGACGGUUGGGGCUAGAUGCGAAACUGAUCAAGGUUUUUAAACAAAUUAAGUCUUUGGAGUGUUACAAUGACGAGAAAAAGAUUAAGUUUGUGAACAGUAUUACUUCAGUAAUAUUGUGUUGAUGCCUCGAUCCCAUGAAAAUGGAAUUAGAAAAAAUCUUAAUAAUUCGUACCAAGAACCGACACAGGUGCCCCUAGGUGAGAAGCCUAAGAUGUGAAGGGAAUAAUCAUUGUAAGGGAAUUCGGCAAUAUUGGCCCUGUACCUUCGGUAUAAGGGGUCCCUGAUUUUGUGUGCUUAUGUAUGCAUUUUCAGGGCGCAGUGACUAAGGAGGUCCGACUGUUUAACAAAAACUUAACCGGCUGCUAGCGUGUAAACGUGUGUAUAGCCGGUGACGUCUGCCCAGUGCCAGUACUUUAAGUCCUGUUUCAACGGGAUGAAGAGCUGGUAAACGGCGGGGGUAACUAUAACUCUCUUAAGGUAGCGAAAUGCCUUGCCGUUUGAUUGACGGCCUGCAUGAAUGGCGUAACGAGACUUCCGCUGUCCCUACAAUGAACCCUCCGAACAUUUGUUCUGGUGCAAAGGCCAGAGACUUCUGGUGGGAAGUAAAGACCCCGUGAAACUUUACUGUAGCCUGUAGUUGUGGUGUGAAAGGUGUUGUGCAGGGUAAAAAGUAGCUGUUUGAGGUGAGUAUCGCAAGGUAUUCGUUUAGGCGUCCAUGAGACACUUUUUUACAACUUUUACAUCGCUAACCAAUUUAUUGGGACAUCUAUUGGUGGACAGUUUGGCUGGGACGGCACACCGUCGAAAAGAUAUCGACGGUGCCCUAUGGUAAGCUCAAUCCGGUCGGAAAUCGGAUGUAGAGUGCAAAAGCAAAAGCUUGCCUUAGUGGAUUUCAAACAGAACGAAAUCCAUUCACGAAAGUGUGGUUUAGAGAACUCCCGCAGCUUCUUGUUGAGGCUCGGGAACUACUGAAAAGUUACUCCGGGGAUAACAGAGUUGUCUCGCCCGAGAGUUCGUAUCGACGGCGAGGCUUGCUACAUCGACGUCGGCUCUCUCUAUCCUGGCCGUGCAGAAGCGGCCAAGGGUGGGGGUGUUCACCCAUUAAAAGGGAUGUUAGCUGGGUUCACAACGCUGUGAAGCAGUUGGUUUAAUAUCUACCAGAAGUGUGGGAUCUCUGAGAUUAAGGGAGCUCCAGUACGAAAGGAACGAGUUGCCGAUGCCUCUGGUGUAUCAGUUGUCUGACAAGGCAUGCUGAGCAGCUACGCAUUAGUUGAUAAGUGCUGAAAGCAUCUAAGCACGAAGCAAU
Molecule: ribosomal RNA, 2765 nt
Filed under: Candidatus Woesearchaeota archaeon
Lineage: Archaea; Nanobdellati; Candidatus Woesearchaeota
Description: 23S ribosomal RNA
Rfam family: Archaeal large subunit ribosomal RNA
Source: RNAcentral